GUGGGAAGCGCACGGCCGCAAAUCCGACGUUGUCAUCCGGGCUUUCGGAUGGCUUGGGAUUGCGGAAGUGC
This 71-nucleotide non-coding RNA is filed under the name Halopiger djelfimassiliensis. RNAcentral's name for it is "S15-Halobacteria ribosomal protein leader". It matches the Rfam family "S15-Halobacteria ribosomal protein leader". The record is from RNAcentral. Lineage: Archaea; Methanobacteriati; Methanobacteriota; Halobacteria; Halobacteriales; Natrialbaceae.